GAUGAACGCUGGCGGCGUGCUUAAUACAUGCAAGUCGAGCGAACAGACGAUGAGCUUGCUCCUCUGACGUUAGCGGCGGACGGGUGAGUAACACGUGGAUAACCUACCUAUAAGACUGGUAUAACUUCGGGAAACCGGAGCUAAUACCGGAUAAUAUAUUGAACCGCAUGGUUCAAUAGUGAAAGACGGUUUUGCUGUCACUUAUAGAUGGAUCCGCGCCGCAUUAGCUAGUCGGUAAGUUAACGGCUUAUCAAGGCGACGAUGCGUAGCCGACCUGAGAGGGUGAUCGGCCGCACUGGAGCGGGGACAGGGUCCAGACUCCUACGGGAGGCAGCAGUAGCGAAUCUUCCGCAAUGGGCGGAAGCAUGACGGAGCAACGCCGCGUGAGAGAUGACAGUCUUCGGAUCGUAAAACUCUGUUAUUAGGGAAGAACAAAUGUGUAAGUAACUAUGCACGUCUUGACGGUAACUAAUAAGAAAGCCACGGCUAACUACGUG
Molecule: ribosomal RNA, 497 nt
Filed under: uncultured bacterium
Lineage: Bacteria
Description: partial 16S ribosomal RNA
Rfam family: Bacterial small subunit ribosomal RNA
Source: RNAcentral